GACGAACGCUGGCGGCGUGCUUAACACAUGCAAGUCGAACGGAAAGGCCCUGCUUUUGUGGGGUGCUCGAGUGGCGAACGGGUGAGUAACACGUGAGUAACCUGCCCUUUACUUUUGGAUAACUUCAGGAAACUGGGGCUAAUACCGGAUAGGAGCUCCUGCUGCAUGGUGGGGGUUGGAAAGUUUCGGCGGUUGGGGAUGGACUCGCGGCUUAUCAGCUUGUUGGUGGGGUAGUGGCUUACCAAGGCUUUGACGGGUAGCCGGCCUGAGAGGGUGACCGGCAACAUGGGGACUGAGAUACGGCCCAGACUCCUACGGGAGGCAGCAGUGGGGAAUAUUGCACAAUGGGCGGAAGCCUGAUGCAGCAACGCCGCGUGCGGGAUGACGGCCUUCGGGUUGUAAACCGCUUUCGCCUGUGACGAAGCGUGAGUGACGGUAAUGGGUAAAGAAGCACCGGCUAACUACGUG
RNAcentral lists this ribosomal RNA (468 nucleotides) under uncultured bacterium. RNAcentral describes it as "partial 16S ribosomal RNA". It matches the Rfam family "Bacterial small subunit ribosomal RNA", at positions 28 to 507 of the family's 1533-position model. The record is from RNAcentral.